GACGAACGCUGGCGGCAUGCCUAACACAUGCAAGUCGAACGAGAACUUCGGGUCUUGGGGCGCACGGGUGCGUAACGCGUGGGGACAUGAACUUGGGGUCGACAUACCUCCCCGACAGGGAUAAUAAUGCGGGACAAUGUCUUCUAACGCAAGAUAUAUCGAACUUGGAGGUGCACGAGUGGGAUUCGCUAGUGCGUAGGGUAAAAGCCUACCACGGCGACGAUCCAUAGCUGGUCUGUGAGGCGGGUCACCAACCCCUGGACUGGGACACGGCCGAGACUCCUACGGGAGGCAGCAGUGCGGAAUAGUGGACCACGGGCGAAGGCCUGAUCCAGUACUGCCGCGUGAGUGAUGUAGUCCGUAGGGUUGUAAAGCGCUUUUACCCGGGCAGAUAAUGACGGUACCGGGAGAAUAAGCGACGGCUAACUCCGUG
This 433-nucleotide ribosomal RNA is filed under the name uncultured bacterium. RNAcentral describes it as "partial 16S ribosomal RNA". It matches the Rfam family "Bacterial small subunit ribosomal RNA", at positions 28 to 507 of the family's 1533-position model. The record is from RNAcentral.